AGUGAAUAAAUUCCUUGUUUUGCUUUGUGUGCAUGGCUUUUGCUUUCCUAUUAAACUCUCUUUAUCUCAGCCCACAGAUUUUCUCAUUUUUACCCUUCUAAUUAUCUCCCCCAUCCCACUGGGGAGCAUGUGGCUGUGUGGGGCUAAGCUGCCCACUGGGGUUAAACCAUGACAGUCCUGUUUUGGUGACCUACUUGGGGCUCAAAUGCUUUGAGGUAAAGACAGGUUUGGUCGGAGUUUGCUAGACUGAAUUUAUAGCUUUUAGUGCUAUUUAGCUAUUAAUUGUCAGGGUGCUGUCCUUGCCACGCUGCGCUUUCGUCUAGAGAUUGUUAGUGGCUUCUUUUCACUCUGGCUGUUUGCUGUAGUGCUUAUCAUCCUACCCAGCUGUGGCUGGCAGCAUUUUGAUAACAGCCAUGGCAAUGUGCCUGGGCUGGCCCAUGGCCUGGGCUGCAGCUCCAGUGGCAGCUUCAGUUGAAGGGACCUGACCUGUGGAUAAGUCCCUGCAGGAGCAGGACAACCUGAAGUGUCUGUGGUUGUGGAUAAGAGCAUGUUGGAGCAGAAGCAUCUGUGGCCAUGGAUAUGUCUAUGGCACAGCAGGUACACCCUAGAGAGACUGUGGCCCUUGGAUAAGGCUGUGCUGGAGGAGGUGCACCUCAAAGUGACUGUGCAUAAGGCCAGGCCACAUUAGCUGUACUCUGGAGAGACUGUGGCCCAUGAGUAGGUCCACACUGGAGCUGGUCCACCCCUAAGGCACUGGAGUCUCUGGAUAAGUCCACACUGGAGCAGAGGCAAGGGGAACACCUGCACUGUCACCAUGGAGGAAGGAUGAACACUCUCACCCUUGGAUAGUAACUGCCUGCUCUGAUCAGAUCUCAAGCCUCACCUGGAUCCUGUGUGCCUGUGCUGGACCAGAAGGUAAAAAUCUCCAGCCUGCCAACAUUUCCUGCUCCAUCCCUCUUAGUCCAGACCUCACCUUUUACAUUGUGGGUUGACGACAGGCAGAAGGAUGAUGCUUGCAGUGAAUGAAAAGGUUAAAGUAUCUUUAGGACUACAGUCACUCUGCUGCACCAUGACUUCCUGAAUUUGUGGGGGUCAUUACAUUUUAAUGUCAAGAGAAGAGUUUAUUCUGGGGAGAAGAAGUUAUUUUGGACUACGGGAAAGACAUUAGUUUUGAUUUGUGUUGGGUCAGGUCAAAGAGGUGCUUUUGUAAAAUACUGGGAAGGGAGGACUUAAUCUUGGGGUGGGCUAUUACAGCUACAUUUUAUUGUAGGAAAAGGGUAGAUUAUGUUUGAUGUGGUGGAAAUUGGUUAUACCUGGUAAAAGAAGGUUAGAUUAAGAGUGAUUCUGAAUAGAAAAGUAAGAACUGUUUUACCUGAAGAUGGGAUUUCACUGAAUGUCUACGUGGGCUGACUACUGCCGUGAUAAUAGCUGGGUUUUGAUUAGAGGCAAAAGAAGAUGAAACAGACUAUUGGGAAGAUCAUGCAGAAGCAGCAAGAAAAAACAGUGUUUACCUUUCUCCUCUCAGUCCUGAGACAUUAUUGGUGGCACCUGCAAUGAAAAAAGACAAUGAGACCAACUUCAAUGGUCCAUGCAUGAAAAAAUACAGGUUUGUGAGUCCUCAUAACAUACUUUCAAUGAGGAACUAUUACUGGGCUGGAGAAGUUCAUUUAUGAAGAACAGGGUUAUAUGCAAAGCCAAAAGAGACAUGUGGGGUGGUUACAACAGACAGCUGGCAGUAACUCCAAACGGUGAUCACAGUCAGUAUUAAGCAUCUGUGGACUUAACCACAAAACUUCAAUUUUGGGGUAAAUUCUUUAGCUUGGGAGUGAGUGCUGAGAUAUGGUCUCUUGUUGGUUUACUUAAUUAUAUAAUGAACAGCUCUGAAGUUUUUAUUUGGAUUAAAAUUUCCCUGGAACUCAAGUAAUUUAGAUCUGAGGUUUUGGCUCUAGUCCCUCCCCAGCUUGUACUCAAUAUAAAUUACUCUCCUAGAACCAUGACAUGUUCAAUUUAUACUCCAUUUUAGAUGGCUGAAAAGUGCAUACAUAAUUCUGUGCAUGCCACAUUUUCUGUAAUCUACUGUGACGAAUAGACCAAAUGACUGAAACUGCUAGCUGAUACACUUUAUUUUAGUCAUGAACCCACACCCAGCCGUAGUUAAAAUACCAGGCAUCUGAAUUAUUUUAUUUGAAUCAAUGCCAAAUUCAAUCUUAUGCAAACACAGAAAGGGAGAGGGAAAAGACGUCCCAGUAUUAACCCAGUGAUUUAUGCGUGGGAACGCAAGGCCACAACAAACAGCAACAGGCCAAUUGUAACAAGAGGAGUGGCCCACCAUGAAAAAUCUGACUACUUUUCAUUGGAGCUGCUGUGAUUGAGGAGUUGGGAACAUGGUGAUACUUUUACUCAUAGAUAAUGUCCACAAGAAAAGUAGACUCAGGGAGCAGGAUUCCCCAAAUUCCACCUUCUGUCAAAAACAUUGGUCAAGCUCAGUGCACUCAUCUCCAUUCACAAUGGGAGGAUUUCCAUGGUGCAGUACAACAGACGAUAACAAAUAUUACCAUUCUGGAGAGAAAAAUAGGAAAUAGUUAUAUCACACCUGCUUGAGAUAAAUAUAUAUUUUUUCAUUAUCUAAUUCCUAAUAACUAUGUAAAAUUAAGAGCUGUGUCCAGAAAUAAUGAGCCUUGGUGCUGAGUUUGGAUCUCCUGGCUCAAUCUGACUUGCCCAUUAGGACCAUGACUUUAUGUACAGAGAGGCAAAGUCACCUGAACAUUCCUCAGGAGAAAGGAGGACUGUCUAGAAUUUUGUCAGCAUUAGACAUCCCAUAGGGAUAAUGACUUGGAGGAUUAUUUUAUACUCUGAAAUAUUACUAUUUUUCUAAGGGCUCUUUUUACUAUGUACCAAGACCAUGUUUGCAGAACCAAAUUAUAGGAAAGGCAGCCAAAACUUUUUAGCUACACCUUCUAAUUCCAGCAUUCAACUCAACCAAACCAAAGAGGUUUCUGGGUACUGGCCUUGAAAGCUUGUUACUGAAGUUCUCUUUACCCACUGGUGCCCAGAGAAGCUCUGAAUGAACUUCCUCUGAAGUUACACAUGGAAAGGUUCAACUCCUUACAGUUCUUUAAGCAAUUUUCUCCUCAGCCAGAGACCUAUCCCCUAAUUUGAUGCCUCUCAGUGGAAAUAUUUUUUCUCUCAAUUGUCACGCCAAACAGUUGUCCGCUUUGUUAGUUUCUUCACAGAAAGGCACCUGUUCAAUUUUAGAUACUGUUCAGCCUGUUCCACUUCAGUGGUCUGCACUACUCCUCCGAGAGCCCUGAGCUUUCCACAUAUUUCAGGCUGCCAGCUCUCUUAUGUGCUUUUCCCCAGCAGCCAAUUUUGCUUGGAAGCUCUUACGACUGAGCCAGCUUCCAUUCCUUCAUAAAGGGAUACCCUCUUGUUAUUGCAAUUGAGGAGUUUCAUAAGAGGCUUUUAAUGUCUCCAGAGUGUUGUUGUGUACAAUAAAAUCUUGAAUUAAGCUUUACCUAACACUUG
This is a non-coding RNA of Cyanistes caeruleus (blue tit), 3525 nucleotides long. The record is from RefSeq and is a predicted model, not a curated record. NCBI's taxonomy places the organism in Eukaryota, Metazoa, Chordata, Aves, Passeriformes, Paridae.